Molecule: ribosomal RNA, 255 nt
Filed under: uncultured bacterium
Lineage: Bacteria
Description: partial 16S ribosomal RNA
Rfam family: Bacterial small subunit ribosomal RNA
Source: RNAcentral
UCCUACGGGGGGCAGCAGUGAGGAAUAUUGGUCAAUGGCCGCAGGGCUGAACCAGCCAAGUCGCGUGAGGGAUGACGGUCCUAUGGAUUGUAAACCUCUUUUGUCAGGGAGUAAAGGGCUCCACGUGUGGCGCUUUGCGAGUACCUGAAGAAAAAGCAUCGGCUAACUCCGUGCCAGCAGCCGCGGUAAUACGUAGGAGGCAAGCGUUGUCCGGAUUUAUUGGGCGUAAAGCGAGUGCAGGCGGUUCGAUAAGUC